This 29055-nucleotide long non-coding RNA is filed under the name Solanum tuberosum (potato). RNAcentral's name for it is "long non-coding RNA (STUB_LNC001200)". The record is from RNAcentral. Lineage: Eukaryota; Viridiplantae; Streptophyta; Magnoliopsida; Solanales; Solanaceae.
AGCCUUUUUCAGAAUUUUCAAGCAAUGAAAACAAUUGGUGAGAACAGUGGAACCCGAGAGUAUGUAGCAGAUAAAUUUUCUUUUUUUUACACUAAUUCUAUGAUAGUGACAACAAAGGGACUGGAUCAUGAACUUCCUAGAGUUUUGACUACACAAAUAAUUAUCGAUCUCUCAAGGAAUAGAUUUGAAGGUCAUAUUCCAAACAUUAUUGGAGAUCUCGUUGGACUUCGUACCUUGAACUUAUCCCAUAAUGUCUUGGAAGGUCAUAUACCAGCAUCAUUGCAAAAUUUAUCAGUACUCAAAUCAUUGGAUCUCUCAUCUAACAAAAUCAGCGGAGAAAUUCCGCAGCAGCUUGCAUCCCUCACAUUUCUUGCAGUCUUGAAUCUCUCUCACAAUCAUCUUGUUGGAUGCAUCCCUAAAGGAAAACAAUUUGAUACGUUUGAGAACAGUUCAUACCAAGGAAAUGUUGGAUUAUGAGGAUUGCCACCCUCAAGAGAUUGUGGCCGUGAUGAUAGGGUACCACAAGCGACAAUUCCAGUUGAGCUAGAUCAAGAAGAAGAAGAAGAUUCACCAAUGAUCAAUUGGCAGGCGGUUCUCAUGGGUUACGGUUGUGGACUUAUUAUUGGAUUGUCCGUAUAAUAUGUAAUGUCUUCAACUCAAUAUCCAAAAUGGUUUUCGAGGAUGGUUGUAAAAUUGGAAGACAAACUUAUUACAAGAAUGAAAAAGUAGAGGAAAAGAUAUUAGUGUAUAGUUACCUCCAGGUAUUCAACUUGAUCAUUGUCCUUCAGAAGAUUAUUUUUUAUAUAUCGAUGAAAUUAUCGACCUCCUUCAUCCUCAAAGCUCUUAACUUUAACUCUUCAUUUUUGUAAAUUUCAGGAUUCAAGAGUUCCGAGUUCCGAGUUGCUGGGGAUGCAGAUAAAGCCUUUUUAUCGUUCAUAGUUUGUAAUGUUUCCAUGAAGUGUUUCUUAUCCUAUGAAUAAAUAUUUUGUUUUCAUUUGUCUAUGGCAUGCAGCUAUGUUCCAUCACUAAAAACAUUGUAUUUCUCUCAACUCUUUUGUCACAUGAUAUCAUAACACAAACAAAGAACACUUGAAUCAAAACCUGGAAGAAACAUCAGGAAACCAUGAAUCAAAGUUGCAGUAGUCUACUAUAUUAACUUUUUUCGUUGAAGCACAACCGACAUAUCAUGAGAAAGAGACUGUGAUCUCAGAAAUGAGAAUUUACCAAUCCACAACCCUGCAGUAUCUACUGGAACUUUUUUCUGUCGCUUCUUCUUGCCCCAAUCUCAGGAACAUUUCAUUCUUGACUGGUCCUUGAUGCAAUAAAUUAAAUCGUGAGUGGAAUUUGUUAAUCUAGUAGCUAAUUAAUGCUCGAAGAAGAUGAAUGCUAAUUCAGGGACUUAGCCGAGAAUUAUAGCUGAAAGAGAAAUGUAGAAGAAGAAGAGAUUGAUCUUAUUUCAUGAAUGAAUAACAUUUUGCAAUCAUAGACAGAGGAAUGAAACUAAUGGCCUAACGAACACUCUGUGAAUAGUGAACAGUACUAACCCAUACCGUGAAGUCUCCAGGAUACAAAUAUUUGGCCUUCGAAAGCAAACUUUUUCUCUCUAAAUACAAGCUUUAUUUUCAUAGUUUCUGAUGUUUCAUCUUACAUUUUUUUAUUACUACCUGUUGUUUCUUUAGCCUCGAUUACUGUAUUAUCUUGUUGUUUUUUCUGCUUGUUGCUACUAUGCCUUCUUUUACAUCGAAAAUAACCUCUCUAACUUCAAGGUAGUGGUAAGGUCUGCGUACACAGUAUACUCCCAAGACAGCCAGGCCCCACUGUCUUCCAUCAGCAGCUCAAUUCUUGUUUCUGUCAAGUUGUAUGGUGUGUGUUAAGAGAGCAAAGCAAAGAUACUUUUUGUGACAUUCAAACAAAAUGCAUGUGUUAUUACAAGUGGUGGGACUUUGUGUUUGAAUCUUUCUAUGCUAUCUUAUUUAUCUUCCCUUCCAUCACUCGUAAACAUACAUUUCAAAGGGAUCAAAAUUGAAUCAAAUUAUUCUACAUGCCUAAAUUCCUUUAUUAUUGUGUUAUCAAAUAACUACAUCAACUCUAAAAUACUCAUAUAUAUGAGUAGUAAUUUUCAUUUGAAGAGUACUUUUAUGGAACUAUUUAGUUGUGUAAAUUUUAUUUCAAGAUAAGCAAAAGAAGUCGAUAUGUGAAUUUACUCCGAAAAUUUUAAGAAGUGACCUUCAUUUUAAAUUUUCUUUGGAACGAAAAAAUGGAUGGAUGGACCUAAGAUCGUGCUGAAAGACGGAGUCGAUGGACAACAUGUAAAUAUCAUAACUUUUACUAUUUUAAUUAACAUUUGAAUUGAGCUUGAUUUUCAUUGGAACAAACUCUAAUUCUUUUGAUAAAAAUUAAAUUUGCUAACAAAUACAAUGACGAAUGCUUUAACAUGUGUAUCCUAAGGAGGAGAGAAAGCAAAGUAAAAAAAUUAUUCUUGUUUUUUUGUUUUGUAAUAGAAAGUGAACCAAAACAAAGACCUUUUAUGUGACCUCUUCGUCUAUAAUAAGCACAUGUGAUUGUCAACUUCAAAUUGACAGAAAAUGACUACUUAACCAAUAGAGAUUUUUUUUUGCUUAAUUUGUGCUAUAUAUACGUCAUCAAAAUUGUUGAAUAGACACAAAAGCAAACAUUUCCUGAUUUCUUCACUGCCAACUUAAUUAGUUUUUGACCAUUUUAGUGAAGAAAUGGGUUGUGUAAAAGUUGUGUUUUUUAUGCUAUAUCCCUUUCUCUGUCAACUUGCUUUCUCCUCAUCCUCACCUCAUUUGUGCCCCCGAAGAUCAAGCUCUUGCUCUUCUACAAUUCAAGAACAUGUUUACCGUGAGACCUACUUCUUAUGGUUGUUACGACUAUACAGACCAAAGGAUGAAGUCAUAUCCAAGAACUCUUUUCUGGAACAAGAGCACCGAUUGCUGCUCAUGGGAUGGAGUUCAUUGUGACGAGACAACAUGACAAGUGAUUGAGCUUGAUCUCCGUUGCAGCCAACUUCAAGGCAAGUUUCGUUCCAAUAGUAGCCUCUUUCAACUCUUCAAUCACAAAAGGCUUGAUUUGUCUUAUAACGAUUUCUUUGAAUCGCUCAUUUCACCUAAAUUUGGUGAGUUCUCUAGAUUGACGCAUCUUGAUUUGUCGAGUUCACGUUUUACAGGUCUAAUCCCUUGUGAAAUCUCUCAUCUUUCUAAAUUAUACGUUCUUCGUAUAUGGACUGUAUUUCCAUAUGGCCUUAGACUUGGGCCUCACAAUUUUGAACUACUCCUUAAGAACUUGACUCAAUUAAGAGAUCUCGACCUUUACUCUGUGAACAUCUCUUCCACUAUUCCUCUGAAUUUCUCUUCUUAUUUAACAAAUUUACAGCUUCAACACACACAAUUUCGUGGGGUAUUUCCCGAAAGAGUUUUCCACCUUUCCGAUUUAGAAUUCCUUGAUUUAUCUCACAAUCCCCAGCUCACAGUUAGGUUUCCCACAACCAAAUGGAAUAGCAGUGCAUCACUCAUGUACUUAAAUCUCUAUGAUGUGAAUAUUAAUGGUAGGAUACCUGAAUCAUUUAGCCAUCUAACUUCACUUCAUAUGUUGAACAUGGGUAAUACUAAUCUGUCAGGGCCCCUUCCUAAACCUCUAUGGAAUCUCACCAACAUAGAGAGUUUGUUCCUUGGUAGUAACCAUCUUGAAGGACUAAUUUCCCUGUUAUCGAGAUUUGAAAAGCUCAAGGAAUUAUUACUUGGAAAUAACAAUUUUGAUGGCCGACUUGAGUUCUUAUCCUUUAACAGAAGCUGGAUGCAACUCGAUACCUUAGAUUUUUCGUCCAAUUACCUAACUGGUCCAAUUCCAUCCAACGUAAGUGGACUGCGAAACCUAAAACAGCUCUUCUUGUCAUCAAGCUACUUGAAUGGGACUAUACCUUCCUGGAUAUUCUCCCUUCCUUCACUGAUAGCGUUAGACUUAAGCAAUAACACUUUCAGUGGAACAGUUCAAGUCCAAAACAUUAAAUGUCGUUACUCUAAAUCAAAAUAAGCUGGAAGGUCCUAUUCCAAAGUCACUCCUAAACCAGCAGUUCCUACUAGGUCUUCUCUUUUCACACAAUAACAUCAGUGGACGUAUUGCUUCAGCUAUCUGCAAUCUGAAAACAUUGCAAGUAUUAGAUUUGAGAAGUAAAAUUUUGGAGGGAACAAUCCCACAAUGUUUGGGUGAGAUGAGUGCAGUUGAGAUUUUGGAUUUGAGCAACAAUAGUCUUAGUGGGACAAUUAAUACAACUUUUAGUAUUCGAAACCGACUCAACAUCAUUAAAUUGCAUAGUAAUAAGCUAGAGGGGAAAGUUUCACAAUCUUUGAUCAAUUGUAAAUAUUUAGAACUUCUUGAUUUAGGUAACAAUGAGUUGAAUGACACGUUUCCAAAAUGGUUGGGAGAGCUACCUCAUUUGCAGAUCUUAAAGUUGAGAUCAAAUAAGUUCUAUGGCCCUAUAAGGAUUGACAACUUGUUUGCUCAAAUUCGAGUCAUAGAUCUCUCAUCCAAUGGAUUUAGUGGAGAUUUACCAUUGAGUCUUUUUCAGAAUUUUCAAGCCAUGAAAACAAAUGGUGAGAACAAUGGAACCCGAGAGUAUGUAGCAGAUACAUUUUUUUUUUACUUACACUAAUUCUAUGAUAGUGACAACAAAGGGACUGGAUCAUGAACUUCCUGGAGUUUUGACUACACAAAUAAUUAUCAAUUUCUCAAUGAAUAGAUUUGAAGGUCAUAUUCCAAGCAUUAUUGGAGAUCUCGUUGGACUUCGUACCUUGAACUUAUCUCAUAAUGUCUUGGAAGGUCAUAUACCAGCAUCAUUGCAAAAUUUAACUGUACUCGAAUCGUUGGAUCUCUCAUCUAACAAUAUCAGUGGAGAAAUUCUGCUGCAGCUUGCAUCCCUCACAUUUCUUGCAGUCUUAAAUCUCUCUCACAAUUAUCUUGUUGGAUGCAUCCCCAAAGGAAAACAAUUUGAUACGUUUGAGAACAGUUCAUACCAAGGAAAUGAUGGAUUACGAGGAUUGCCACCCUCAAGAGAUUGUGGUCGUGAUGAUAGGGUACCACAAGAGACAAUUCCAGUUGAGCUAGAUCAAGAAGAAGAAGAAGAAGAUUCACCAAUGAUCAAUUGGCAGGCGGUUCUUAUGGGUUAUGGUUGUGGACUUGUUAUUGGACUGUCUGUAAUAUACGUAAUGUGGUCAACUCAAUAUCCAGCAUGGUUUUCGAGGAUGGAUUUAAAAUUGGAACACAGAAUUACUACGAGAAUGAAAAAGUACAAGAAAAGAUAUUAGUGAGUAGCGACCCCCAGGUAUUCAACUUGAUCUUUAUCUUUCUUAAGAUCAUUUUAUAUGUCAAUGUGUUUUCAACCUCCUUCAUCGUCAGAGCUCUUACCUUAAUUCUUUAUUUUUGAAAAUUGCAGGAUUCAAGUCUACUGAGUUGUGGGGGAUGCAGAUAAAAGUCUUUAUUUUUCAUAGUUUGUGGUGUCUCCAUAAAGUAUUUGUUAUACUAUGAAUAAAGACAUGACUUUUCUUCCUUUGAGACUCAACCAGAUUUUGUUUUCAAAUGUCUAUGGCAUAUAGAAAUAAACGGAAAUCGGACACAAACUUGAAUCUUUAAAUCAUUCAAUCAGAGUAUUUCACUCAACUCUUUCACAUAACACAAAUAUAGAACACUCGAAUUUAAGUUCAGAAACAUAAAAAUCUGUAGUUACAGAUUUCAGAAAUAUUCUUUUACAGACACAUGAUGGUCCUUUAUCAAAAGAUCGAAGGAACAUCAGGAAACCAUGGACCAAAGUUGCAGUCUGCUAUCUUUAACUUUUUUCAUUGAAGCAGUAGCAAUUAACAUAUAAUCUAGAUUCUAUUCAACCUCCUUUAUGAUAUUAGUAAGAUAAAUGAAACAGUGCUAAAUCAAGAAAUGAAGAAAGCUGUAAAGUAUUCCGCUGCUGCUUAUUAGAAUAGGCUCAGACUCUUUUGAGACAUUAGAUGGUGAACUGAUCAAAUGGACGAAAAAGGCCUAUUAUUGUGUUAAAAGGUGUAUUAGAAUAAUCUCAUAUCCAUUGGGAGGACUGUUUUGAGCCAUUAGAACCAGGUAAAAGAAUAAGUUCUGUCACAACAAAUUCUAGGAAAUAGACGCAUUAUUGAGCUUAUGCUCGAAAUCAAUUAAGGGUACGAAAAGUUCUGUCACAACAAAUUCUUAAAAGGGUAUAAUAUGCAUACACUUAUCCUAUCAAAACCUUCUUGCUUUUUUUUUUUUUUUACCUUUAAAGUUAAAGUCUAUACACAAAGUAACACUCUUAUCUUCUUUUUUUCUUAAUGCAAGACUUUGUUCAUACACCCAACCAAUUAUCAAACUACUUGAUUCAGAACAAUACAUGCCAUCCUGGAUAUCCUCCGUUCCAUCACUAAACUUUGAGGACUAUAACAAUGUGUUUCUUCCGUUCUACUCUCCGAGAAGACAAGAACAGCAGUCUCACUCUCACACUCACCUAUAAGUUCCAGGAAGAUACAAAAAAAUGUUUAAUCAGUGGUAUUGAAACUAUGAAGAACAUGCCAUGUAUGGACUUCUGCACUGUCUUCCAUCAGCAGGUCAAUUCUUGUGGAAAAUUGGCUCGAGCUGGUGCACUAUGUAGGCGCUGUAUUCAGAGUAGAUUUCCAGUCUAACCUUAAUGCAUUAGCAAAGUGACACUCCUAUUCUUAAGGUAUAAAGUUGUUAUGUUUCUUUCAAAGUUUACACACUCCUAUCCUAAACAAUUUUGUUGUGUGGUGGUCCUAUUCCUGGAAUCCAAUUAAGUUGGCAAAACAAAGAUAUUUUUUUGUCGAUAAUAACGUUGCACACAAAAUGCAUGUGUAAUGUGUUAUAUACAAGUGGUGGGACUUUGUGAUUUGACUUAAGAAUGUGAACUAUUGAUAGUUUCCGGCAUUCACUUGUGUGACACAUUGAAUGGGCAUAUGUGAUUCACAACUUCAAAUUGACUGAAAAUGACUACGUAACCAAUAGUAAAAUUCUCUUUGCUUAAUUUGUGUUAUAUAUACCUCAUCAAAAUUGUUGAAUAAACACACAAAGCAAAAUAUUUCUUGAUUUCUUCUCUACCAACUUAAUUUAGUUUUGAUCAUUUUUUAGUGCAGAAAUGGAUUGUGUAAAACUUGUAUUGUUUAUGCUAUAUACCUUUCUCGGUCAACUUAUUUUCUCCUUAUCCUUACCUCAUUUGUGCCCCGAAGAUCAAGCUCUUGCUCUUCUACAAUUCAAGAACAUGUUUCCCAUUAAUCCUAAUGCUUCUGAUUAUUGUUUUAAAUUUAAAGAGUUUCAUUCAUAUCCGAAAACUCUUACAUGGAAUAGUAGCACAGAUUGUUGCUCAUGGGAUGGAGUACAUUGUGACAAGAUGACGGGACAGGUGAUUGAGCUCAACCUCACUUGCAGCGGACUUCAAGGCAAGUUUCAUUCCAAAUUGUAGCCUCUUUCAACUUUCCAAUCUCAAAAGGAUUGAUUUGUCUUUUAAUAAUUUCACUGGAUCGCUCAUUUCACCUAAAUUUGGUGACUUCUCCAGUUUAACACAUCUUGAUCUAACAGUUACAAGUUUUUCGGGUCAAAUCCCUUCUGAAAUAUCUCAUCUUUCAAAAUUACACGAUCUUCGUAUCUCUAAUGUUUAUCCAUAUGAGCUUAGAUUCGGACCUCACAAUUUUGAAUUGCUCCUUAAGAACUUGACCCAAUUAAGAGAGCUCCACCUUCACGAUGUGAACAUCUCUUCCACCAUUCCUCUGAAUAUCUCUUCUUAUUUAACAAAUCUACGGCUUCCAUUAACAGAGUUACGUGGGGUAUUUCCCGAAAGAGUUCUCCACCUUUCCGAUUUAGAAUUCCUUGAUUUAUCAGAAAAUCCCCAGCUCACUGUUAGGUUUCCCACAACCAAAUGGAAUAGCAGUGCAUCACUCAUGUACUUAAAUCUCUAUGAUGUGAAUAUUAAUGGUAGGAUACCUGAAUCAUUUAGCCAUCUAACUGCACUUCAUGACUUGAACAUGGGUUAUUCUACUCUGUCAGGGCCUAUUCCUAAACCUCUAUGGAAUCUCACCAACAUAGAGAGUUUGUUCCUUAGUGAUAACUAUCUUGAAGGACCGAUUUCCCAGUUCUCGAGAUUUGGAAAGCUUAGGGUGUUAUACCUUGGAUAUAACAACUUCGAUGGCUGACUUGAGUUCUUAUCCUUUAACAGAAACUGGACGCAACUUGAAGUAUUAGAGUUUUCAUUCAAUAACCUAACUGGUCCAAUUCCAACUAAUGUAAGAGGACUACAAAACCUACAAUGGCUCAAAUUGUCAUCAAACCACUUGAAUGGGACUAUACCUUCCUGGAUAUUCUCCCUUCCUUCACAGACAGUGUUAAACUUGAGAAAUAACCCUUUCAGUGGAAAAAUUCAGGAGUUCAAGUCCAACACAUUGUUGGAAGUUGAUCUAAGACAAAAUCAACUAGAAGGUCCUUUACCAAAUUCACUCCUAAAACAGCCAAACCUAAAAUUUCUUCUCCUUUCACACAAUAAUAUUAGUGGACAGAUUGCUUCAACUAUCUGCAAUCUGAAAACACUAACAGCUUUGGACUUAGGAAGUAACAAUUUGGAGGGAACAAUCCCACAAUGUUUGGUUGAGAUGAAUGAAUACCUUUGGAAUUUGGAUUUGAGCAACAACAGUCUUAGUGGGACUAUCAAUACAAAUUUUAGUGUUGGAAACGAUCUCACGAUCAUUAGCUUGCAUGGGAAUAAGCUAACGGGGAAAGUCCCACGAUCUUUGAUCAAUUGCAAGUACUUGACACUUCUUGAUCUAGGUAACAAUCAGUUGAAUGACACAUUUCCAAACUGGUUGGGACACCUACCUGAUUUGAAGAUUUUAAGCUUGAGAUCAAAUAAGUUUCAUGGUCCCAUUAAAUCUUCAGGGAAUACAAACUUGUUUGCGCGGCUUCAAAUUCUGGAUCUAUCAUCCAAUGGAUUUAGUGGUAAUUUACCAAUAAGUCUUUUUGGGAAUUUGCAAGCCAUGAAGAAAUUGAUGAGCGUACAAGAACCCCAGAGUAUGUUUCUGAUCAAUAUGCUGGUUAUUAUGAUUAUUUGAUGACAAUUACAACAAAGGGGCAAGAGUAUGAUUGUGUUCAAAUUUUGGAUUCUAACAUGAUUAUCGAUCUCUCAAAGAACCGAUUUGAAGGUCAUAUUCCAAGCAUUAUUGGAGAUCUCGUUGAACUUCGUACCUUGAACUUAUCUCAUAAUGUCUUGGAAGGUCAUAUACCAGCAUCAUUGCAAAAUUUAUCUGUACUCGAAUCAUUGGAUCUCUCAUCUAACAAAAUCAGCGGAGGAAUUCCACCACAACUUGCAUCCCUCACGUUUCUUGCAGUCUUAAAUCUCUCUCACAAUCAUCUUGUUGGAUGCAUCCCCAAAGGAAAACAAUUUGAUACGUUUGAGAAUAGCUCAUACCAAGGGAAUGAUGGGUUAUGUGGACUGCCAUUCUCAAAACAUUGUGGUGGUGAUGGUAGGGUACCACAAGCGACAAUUCCAGCUGAGCAAGAUCAAGAAGAAGAAGAAGAUUCACCAAUGAUCAGUUGGCAGGCGGUUCUCAUGGGUUACGGUUGUGGUCUAGUUAUUGGACUGUCUAUAAUAUACAUAAUGUUGUCAACUCAAUAUCCAACAUGGUUUUCGAGGAUGGUAUUGAAAUUGGAACACAGAAUGAUUACGAGAAUGAAAAGGCACAAGAAAAGAUAUUAGUGAGUAGCGACCUCCAGGUAUAUAACUUGAUCUAUUUUAUUUUAUUUCUAUUUUUUUUUACCCUCCGUAGGAGCUCCCACCCCUUUUGCUCCCUUGGUGACUCGAACUCGCAACCUUCGGGUUGGAAGUGAGAGGUGCUUACCAUCCGAGCAACUCCCUCUCGUCAUUCAACUUGAUCAUUAUCCUUCAGAAGAUUAUUUUUUAUAUAUCGAUGUAAUUUCUACCUACUUCAUCCUUUAAGCUCUUAACUUUAAUUCUUCAUUUUUGAAAAUUGCAGGAUUCAAGUCUACUGAAUUGCUGGGAUGCAAUAAGACGAGUUUUUGUUUACCAAUAGUCUGUUAUAUAGUAUGUAGUAAUUUAUUCAGCCUGAUUAUUAGUUAGCUACUUCAUUUCGACUGCAAUGUUCAGUUCAUAAAUUUAUGAAGUUAUCUUAUCUUUUUGUUUUAAUUACAUCAAUAAUUUCAAUAGCAAGCUAAACGUGUACACCUUUUAAGACUCUCCUAAAAAUUGGCUUAAAUAUCCUUAUGGUGUUAAAGAUUGCUCUAAAGUCACCACUCCUUGUUAGUCGAAAAUCACACUUGUCUAAUUUCAAAUGUUUAUAUGUAAAAAGAAUCGAAGAUAUGCCUUUUUUUCUCAACUUUGAUCUGUAGAGGUAUUGAUCUUGUCGCCUCUGCUCUCUGUGCGUUCCUAUUUCUUAAUAAAUCUCUGUGACAUUAGAUACAGGCCUUGUACACCAUACCUUGUAGGAAGACAAUAACGGAUUAGUUCAAGGAGUACUAAAAGUUCUGUUAAAGAAAAUGCUUAAAAACUACAUAUGACAUCUUGUAUUAUAAAGAGAAUGCAAGCUUGAGUCUACUUCAAAUGAUCAUAAUAUAUCGGAUACUCAUUAAAUGAGCAUUCUCAAUAACAGAGCUUGGAUCAAAUCUAUAUUAUGUGCACAGAAUUAUGAAGCAUGAAUACUAGUUCACCUCAACUUUUUCCUUUUCUUUUUGCUAAGAAAAGGCAUUUUGUUGGGUUAUACACAUUUACAAGGGUGAAAAAGAUGCCACAAUUUACACCAUCCUGUAUCAAACAGUCCAGAAUCGAGACGAAGAUAACUAGCUUUAUAAAAAAUUAUUGAUAAAAAUUAUUGAUCUAGGAAAAAGAUGCAUUCUUGAGCUUAUGCUCGAAACUAAUUAAGGGAUAAUUCUCAAAGGAGUACGAAAAGUUCUGUUAUAGGAAGUUUCGUUCAUAACGUUCAAGAAUUUGAAUUACUCUGUGGGAGUAUCAAUUUGGAGGGAACAAUCCCACAAUGCCUGGGUGAGAUGAAUGAAUACCUUUGGAAUUUGGAUUUGAGCAACAACAGUCUUAGUGGGACAAUCAAUAUAAAUUUUAGUAUUGGAAACUCUUUCAGGGUCAUUAGCUUGCACGGGAAUAAGCUAACAGGGAAAGUCCCACCAUCUUUGAUCAAUUGCAAGUAUUUGACACUUCUUGAUCUAGGUAACAAUAAGUUGAAUGACACAUUUCCAAACUGGUUGGGAAACCUACCUGAUUUGCAGAUUUUAAGCUUGAGAUCAAAUAAGUUUCACGGUCCCAUUAAAUCUUCAGGGAAUACAAACUUGUUUGCGCAGCUUCAAAUUCUGGAUCUAUCAUCCAAUGGAUUUAGUGGUAAUUUACCAAUAAGUCUUUCUGGGAAUUUGCAAGCCAUGAAGAAAAUUGACGAGAGUACAAGAACCCCAGAGUAUGUUUCUGAUCAAUUUGCUGGUUAUUAUGAUUAUUUGAUGACAAUUACAACAAAGGGACAAGAUUAUGAUUGUGUUCAAAUUUUGGAUCCUAACAUGAUUAUCGAUCUCUCAAAGAACAGAUUUGAAGGUCUUAUUCCAAGCAUUAUUGGAGAUCUUGUUGGACUUUGUACCUUGAACUUAUCUCAUAAUGUCUUGGAAGGUCAUAUACCAGCUUCAUUGCAAAAUUUAUCAGUACUCGAAUCAUUGGAUCUCUCAUCUAACAAAAUCAGCGGAGAAAUUCCACAACAGCUUGCAUCCCUCACAUUCCUUGCAGUUUUAAAUCUCUCUCACAAUCAUCUUGUUGGAUGCAUCCCCAAAGGAAACCAAUUUGAUACGUUUGAGAACAGUUCGUACCAAGGGAAUGAUGGAUUAUGAGGAUUGCCACCCUCAAGAGACUGUGGCCGUGAUGAUAGGGUACCACAAGAGACAAUUCUAGUUGAGCUAGAUCAAGAAGAAGUAGAUGAUUCACCAAUGAUCAGUUGGCAGAAGGUUCUCAUGGGUUACGGUUGUGGUCUAGUUAUUGGAUUGUCUGUAAUAUACAUAAUGUGGUCAACUCAAUAUCCAGCAUGGUUUUCGAGGAUGGAUUUAAAAUUGGAACACAAAAUUACUACGAGAAUGAAAAGGCACAAAAAAAAGAUAUUAGUGUGUAGCGACCUUCAGGUAUUCAACUUGAUCUUUAUCUUUCUUAAGAUUAUUUUUUAUAUAUCAAUGUAUUUUCGACCUCCUUCAUCCUCAAAGCUCUUACCUUUAAUUCUUCAUUUUUGAAAAUUGCAGGAUUCAUGUCUACAAAGUUUCUGAAGAUUAAGAUAAAAAGCCUCUAUCUUUCAUUUGUCUAUGGCAUGUAGAAAUAAAUUCGACUGAUAAAUAGAAGUCGGACAUAAAGUUGAAUCUUUGGAUCAAUCAGAUGAUAUGUGUCAUCACUAAAAACGUAGUAUUUCACUCAACUCUUUCACAUAACAUCAUAACACAAACAUAGAACACUCGAAUUUAAGUUCAAAAACAUAAAAAUCUGAAGUUACCGAGUUCGGAAUAUUUUUUUUCAGAUUCAUGAUGGUCCUUCAUCAAAAGAUCAAAGAAACAUUACCAGGGACCAAAGUUACAGUUUUCUAUCUUUAACUCUUUUCAUUGAAGCAGCAGCAAAAAGAUUUGCAUUAUUCUCUACUCCCUGAGCCUCACAUAGACAACAUCACGUGUUUUCAACUGGAAUCUGCAUUCUUUGAAGAGUUGGAGAAAGAGCCUUCAACUCUUCCCAUCUAAGUCUCUGAUGACAGAGUUACCCGAUAUCUCUAUUGGUGGAAGGUAGACGGUACCGGUUGAAUUAAUCGAAUAGACUCAAGUUGACCUGAGCAUCACUGUUAUACAACAACAAACUAUGCCUCAGCCCCAAACAAAAACUUGCAUAGAGACCUGCAAUAAUGUUCGAAGCCCAAAAUAAGAUAGACAUAAACACACAAUUGAGUGAUAUAAUUUCUAGUGAUCGAAAUCCAUAUGGAUUUCAAACAUCAUUUAGGAAGAAAUCAAGCAGAAGCGCUUGACUAUAGGUGAGGUUUAUCGUGAUCAACUAUUGUUCAGAUUCAUUAAUUAGCAAACUGCUCCACAAUUUCAAAGUUUCGGGGCAAAGAAAAAGAUUCAUAAAAACAAAAGGGAAUACCUCGCCAAACAGACUUAGGAACCAGGUUUGUCAAGAUAUCACUGCAGCUUUCUUUACGCUGUGCUUUAAUCUCUGUGCAAAAUCCAUAUGCAGGAUCCUUUUAACUGAUUUUGAUGAGUCGAGAUUUCACAAAAAUGUAUCUGUCAAACUAUGACUUAGCUGAUGCGGCAGUUAUCAGCUCCACUAAAUAUACUUGUGGGCUGAAACCUUGUGUAUUCCAGCAUCUAACAUUGCUUUUCUCAAGGCAGCAGCAUAAUCCCACCUCUCUGCGCCAGCACAAAUGAUUCGGUUGCGACUCAAGCAGUAGUUGUGAUACUUCAUAUCCCAAUUCAAUAGCUCCAUGAAGUCUACAAGCACCCAUCAGAGCCCCCAAGACAGUAAAGGCAUCAGCUUCAAACAAGAUAAUGUUCCAUCUUAGCUACAAGUCAAAAUUCAUGAGACAUCGCUUCAAACAAUUUAAAACUGAAAUCGACAAGCUUGGCAUACACACAAUUAAGCUGAUAGAACAGACACAAAAGUAAUCUCAUUUGGUUGCAGCCCCUUUGCCCUCAUCUUCUCAUACAUCGUUAAUGCCUACUUCUCUCUUCUAAGAAAAGGGUUGUAGAUUAUUUGUGAUACAUUAAUUUCUAUUCGACCUCCUUUAUGAUGCAAAUAACAUUAAUGAAAGGCAUAAAACAGUACUAAAUUAAGACAGGGAGAUUUGAUAUAUAGUUUAGAGAAUAUUUGGGCCUCUUGAAGUGUAACAGCCCAAAGCACAAAACAUUGAAGACCCAAACCAGCAAAACAAAAGAAAAUCAGAAUCAGACAUAAAGUUGAAUCUUUAGAUCAUUCAAUCAGACGAUAUGUGCCAUCACUAAAAACAUUGUAUUUCACUCAACUCUUACACAUAACACAAACAUACAACACUCGACUUUAAGUUCAGGAACAUAAAAAUCUGUAGUUACAGAGUUUGAAGAUAUUUUUCUACCGACUCAUGAUGGUCCUUCAUCAAAAAAUGGAAGAAACAUCAGGAAAACACAGAAAAUCUAGUAUCCAACACGGCUUCAGAAGGAGAAUCUUCUGUUACUAUCAUCAAUGAAUUCAGUAUUACAAACUUCAGGCCUUAAGAACUGAAAUACAGGUGCUCGGAAAAUUGAUUUAGGCUGUAUAUGGAUGAUAUACAGCGGAAAGGGACGACAUAGGGUUCAUAUACAGUAGUAAUAUACGCUUGGUAUAUAUUCAGGUUUUCAAGGGUAAAAAUAGGGCCAAUGCCCAAACACAACCUGCAGCAGGCCCAAGAAGGGCCCAAAUUCAAUUUCUCCUUCACUCUUAACCUAUUUAACUGUGAUUAUUUACUGUUAGCUUUUUAUUAACUCUAACUUUAAAUAACUUAAUUAAAUACCCAAAAGAUGAACUAUAUUAUUUCUGUUAGUUUAUUUUAAUAUAAUUCAUUUUUUAUCAACUUUCAUACUUUUAUUGAAUAUAUUUAGUCAAAACUUUUUAUUUAUUCUUCAAUUAAUUUAAAAUCGUUUUCAUACUUUUAGUUAAUCAAAUCGGUUUAAAUUAUUAUUUUAAAAUGAUUCAAAUAAAUUUUAAUUAAUCUAGUUUUGUUAAAAUACUAAUCACUUGUAAUUAAAUUCAAAUAUUUUAAUUAAGGUCCCCCUUUCUAAAAAAAAUCAAAAAUUGUUCUUUGUUUAACUAUUUUUUUCAAGUUAAUAUUAAAAGUCAUUUUCAUAAUCACUUCCCAAAAAAUAGUCAAAAAAAUAUUUUAACCAAGUUGUAGGAUAACCGCGUGUUAGCGGAUGCUUCAAAUGCCUUAAAAACCUUCUUGAAGCGUAAAUAAGAACCUCUUACCCAUUUUCUCUAAAUUUUUAAAGACUUAAUCUGUUAGAGUCUUUUUAAAUUAUAAGUUUUUUUGUAAUUUCUCUAAAAAAUAAAGUAGCGACUCUUUUCUAAGUAUUUUUCUCAAAUUGUCUUAUACUUAAAGCAUUUCAAAAGUAAUUUUUCUAAAGAUAGUCAAAUUACAAUAUAUAUAACAUUUAGAUCAUUCGAUCAGAUGAUAUUUGUCAUCACUAAAAACAUUGUAUUCACUCAACUCGUUCACAUGACAUCAUAAUAAAAACAUAGAGCACUCGACUUUAUGUUCAGAAACAUAAAUUUGUAGUUACAGAGUUCGAAAAUAUUUUUUACAGACUCAUCGAAAGAUCAAAGAAACAUCAGGAAACCAUGGACCAAAGUUGAAGUCUUCUAUCUUUAACUAUUUUCAUUGUAGCUUAUAUCAUAAAAAAAUUAACUCAAAGGAGAUUUGGACUCAACUUCAACUUCCUGUGUAUAAUAUUUCAAGAAUAGUAAAACAAGUUGAUAUCUAAAUUUACUUUGAAAUGGCCUUCAUACUUGGAACUAUUAAUUACUGCAGAACUUUAAUCACUCAUUAAUGUAUAAAACAUGUACCCUAUUGAGUUUUCUUAUUGGGAGAAACGGUAGUCUAUCAAUUAGUAAUGACUUUCCAAUUUUUUGGUAGUUUAUCAAUAAAUUAGUAAUGACUUUCCUACAUAAAUUAAAUGAAUACAUGGAUUCUUUAUUACCACAAAUUUUUUAAAAUAACAGUUUUUUUUUUUAAAGUAAGGAAAAAAUGGUCAAUUAAUUUUGUACAGGUAUUUCGUAAUCCAACUUGGCACUUUGAAGCUUCACAAUUUUAAUUGAGCUUUAUAUUUUCAUUGGAACGAACUUUAAUUCUUUAACAUGUGUAUCUUGAGGAGAAGAGAAAGGGAAAGUUCUGAGUGGGGUUAAGGGAACCAAAACAAAUACCUUUUAUGUGACAUUUUUGUCUAUAUAUAAUAAUGUAUCAGACAAAAUGCAUUUGUUAUAUACAAGCGGUGGGACUUUGUUACGUUGUUGCUUUCAUUUGAACAUAUUGAAUGUGCAUAUGUGAUUGUCAACUUCAAAUUGACUGAAAAUGCUUAAUUUAUGCUAAUCUCUAUCUCAUCAAAAUUAUUGAAUACACACACAGAGCAAAUAUCUUCUCUACCAACUUAAUUAGUUUUGAUCAUUUUUAGUGCGGAAAUGGGUUAUGUAAAACUUGUAUUUUUUAUGUUAUAUACCUUUCUCUGUCAACUUGGUAUCUCCUCAUCCUUACCUCAUUUAUGCCCCGAAGAUCAAGCUCUUGCUCUUCUACAAUUUAAGCACAUGUUUACCAUUAAUCCUAAUGCUUCUAAUUUUUGUCGUGAAAUAAUAACAGAUCAAGAGAUUCAGUCAUAUCCAAAAACCCUUUUAUGGAACAAGAGCACAGAUUGUUGCUCAUGGGACGGAGUUCAUUGUGACGAGAUGACGGGACAAGUAAUUGAGCUUGAUCUCAGUUACAGCACACUUCAAGGCAAGUUUCAUUCCAAUAGUAGCCUCUUUCAAUUAUCCAAUCUCAAAAGGCUUGAUUUGUCAUGUAAUAAUUUCACCGGAUCGCUCAUUUCACCUAAAUUUGGUGAGUUCUCUAGCUUGACGCAUCUUGAUUUGUCAGGUACAGGUUUUACAGGUCUAAUGCCAACAGAAAUCUCUCACCUUUCUAAAUUACACGUUCUUCGAUUCAGUGGUCUAUAUGACCUUAGUCUUGGGCGUCACAAUUUUGAACUGCUCCUUAAAAACUUGACCCAAUUAAGAGAGCUCAACCUUGACUAUGUAAACAUCUCUUCCACAAUUCCUCAGAAUUUCUCUUCUUAUUUAAAAAAUCUACGGCUUCCAUACACAGAUUUAUGUGGGGUAUUGCCCAAAAGAGUUUUCCACCUUUCCGAUUUAGAAUUCCUUGAUUUAUCAUCCAAUUCUCAGCUCACUGUUAGGCUUCCCACAACCAAAUGGAAUAGCACUGCAUCACUCAUGUACUUACGUCUCUAUGACGUGAAUAUUACUGAUAGGAUACCUGAAUCAUUUAGCCAUCUAACUUCAUUGCUUGUAUUGGACAUGAGUGAUUGUAAUCUGUCAGGGUCUAUUACUAAACCUCUAUGGAAUCUCACCAACAUAGAGUUGUUGGACCUUGGUAAUAACCAUCUUAAAGGAUCAAUUUCCCGGUUAUCGAGAUUUGGAAAGCUCAAGGACUUAUCACUUAGAAAUAACAACUUUGAUGGCCAACUUGAGUUCUUAUCCUGUAACAGAAGUUGGACCCAACUUAAAUGGCUAGAUUUUACAUCCAAUUUCCUAACUGGUCCAAUUCCAUCCAACGUAAGUGGACUACAAAAUCUACAAUCACUCUACUUGUCAUCAAACAACUUGAAUGGGACUAUACCUUCCUGGAUAUUCUCCCUUCCUUCACUGUCAGAGUUAGAGUUGAACAAUAACACUUUCAGUGGAAAAAUUCAGGAGUUCAAGUCCAAAACAUUGUCUCAAGUUGAUCUAAAACAAAAUCAACUAGAAGGUCCUUUACCAAAUUCACUCCUAAACCAGCCACUCCUAACAUAUCUUCUCCUUUCACACAAUAAUAUCAGUGGACAGAUUGCUUCAACUAUCUGCAAUCUGAAAGAAUUGACUGUGCUAAAUUUGAGAAAUAAUAAUUUGGAGGGAACAAUCCCACAAUGCCUGGGUGAGAUGAAUGAAUACCUUUGGAAUUUGGAUUUGAGCAACAACAGUCUUAGUGGGACAAUCAAUAUAAAUUUUAGUAUUGGAAACUCUUUCAGGGUCAUUAGCUUGCACGGGAAUAAGCUAACAGGGAAAGUCCCACCAUCUUUGAUCAAUUGCAAGUAUUUGACACUUCUUGAUAUAGGUAACAAUCAGUUGAAUGACACAUUUCCAAACUGUUGGAAACCUACCUGAUUUGCAGAUUUUAAGCUUGAGAUCAAAUAAGUUUCACGGCCCCAUUAAAUCUUCAGGGAAUACAAACUUGUUUGCGCAGCUUCAAAUUCUGGAUCUAUCAUCCAAUGGAUUUAGUGGUAAUUUACCAAUUAGUCUUUUUGGGAAUUUGCAAGCCAUGAAGAAAAUUGACGAGAGUACAAGAACCCCAGAGUAUGUUUCUGAUCAAUUUGCUGGUUAUUAUGAAUAUUUGACCACAAUUACAACAAAGGGACAGGAUUAUGAUUCUGUUCGAAUUUUGGAUUCUAACAUGAUUAUCAAUCUCUCAAAGAACAGAUUUGAAGGUCAUAUUCCUAACAUUAUUGGAGAUCUCGUUGGACUUCGUACCUUGAACUUAUCUCAUAAUGUCUUGGAAGGUCAUAUACCAGCAUCAUUGCAAAAUUUAUCUGUACUCGAAUCAUUGGAUUUCUCAUCUAACAAAAUCAGCGGAGGAAUUCCACCACAACUUGCAUCCCUCACAUUUCUUGCAGUCUUAAAUCUCUCUCACAAUCAUCUUGUUGGAUGCAUCCCCAAAGGAAAACAAUUUGAUACGUUUGAGAACACUUCCUACCAAGGGAAUGAUGGGUUACGUGGAUUGCCACUCUCAAAACACUGUGGCGGUGAUGAUAGGGUACCACAAGCAAUAACUCCAUCAGAGCUAGAUCAAGAAGAAGAAGAAGAUUCACCAAUGAUCAGUUGGCAAGCGGUUCUCAUGGGUUACGGUUGUGGACUUGUUAUUGGACUGUCCGUAAUAUACAUAAUGUUGUCAACUCAAUAUCCAACAUGGUUUUCGAGGUUGGUUGUGCAAUUGGAACACAGAAUUACUACGAGAAUGAAAAGGCACGAGAAAAGAUAUUAGUGAGUAGCUACCUUCAAGUAUUCAACUUGAUCUUUAUCUUUCUUGAAGUCAUUUUUUAUAUAUCAAUGUAUUUUCGACCUCCUUCAUCCUCAAAGCUCUUACAUUUAAUUCUUCAUUUUUGAAAAUUGCAGGAUAAAGUUUCUGAAGAUGCAGAUAAAAAGCCUUUAUCUUUCAUAGUUUGUGAUGUUUCCAUAAAGUAUUUGUUAUCCUAUGAAUAAAAACAUGACUUUCCCUUCCUUUGAGACUACAUACCAUAAAGUCUAUGGCAUGUAGAUAUAAAUUCGACUGAUAAACAGAAACCGGACAUAAACUUAAAUCUUUAGAUCAUUUAAUCAGAUGAUAAUACGUGUCAUCACUAAAAACAUAGUAUUUCACUCAACUCUUUCACAUGACAUCAUAACACAAACAUAGAACACUCUACUUUAAGUUCGGAAACAUAAAAAUCUGAAGUUACAGAGUUUGAAAAUAUAUUUUUUCCGAUUCAUGAUGGUCCUUCAUCAAAGGAUCAAAGAAACAUUAGGAAAAAUAUUUGCAUUAUUCUCUACUGCCUGAGCCUCACAUAGACAACAUCAUGUGUUUUCAACUCGAAUCUACAUUCUUUGAAGAGCUGAAGAAAGAACCUUCAACUCUUCCCAUCUAAAUCUUGGAUGAUAGAGUUACCCGAUAUCUCUAUUGGUGGAAGGUAGACGGUACCAGUUGAAUUAAUUGAAUAGAACACAAGUUGACCCAAGCAUCACUGUUAUACAAUAACAAACUACGCCUCAGCCCCAAAAAAUAACUUGCAUAGAGACCUGCAAUAAUGUUCAAACCCCAAAAUAAGAUAGACAUAAACAUAUAACUGAGUGAUAGAAUUUCUAGUGAUCGAAAUCCAUAAGGAAUUCAAACUUCAUUUAGGAAGAAAUCAAGCAGAAGCGCUUGCCUAUAGGUGAGCUUUAUUGUGAUCAACUAUUGUUCAGAUUCAUUAAUUAGCAAACCGCUGCAUAAUUUUGAAGUUUCGGGGCAAACAAACUUUGGAACCAGAUCUGUCAAGCUAUGACUUAGUUGAUUUUGAUGAGUCGAGAUUCCAUCACCAAGAUGCGGCAGUUAUCAGCUCCACUAAAUAAAACUGUGGGCUGGAACCUUGUGUGUAUUCCAGCAUCUAACAUUGCUUUUCUCAAGGCAUCAGCAUGAUCCCACCUCUCUGCACCAGCAUAAAUGCUUGAGAGUUGCAUAUAACACCCUGAAUGCUUGAGAGUUAUGCUACUUCAAUAGCUCCAUGAAGUCUACAAGCACCCAUCAGAUCCCCCAAGACAGUAGCAUCAGCUUCAAAAGGCAUCUUCUUUAGUCUUCCUGCAGUUUCCCAGCUCUCCCUAAGAGAUCAACCACACAACCAUAAGUUGAAUCUUUAGAUCAUUCAAUCAGGUGAUAUGUGCCAUCACUAAAAACAUUGUGUUUCACUCAACUCUUUCACAUAACACAAACAUACAACACUCGACUUUAAGUUCAGGAACAUAAAAAUCUGUAGUUACAGAGUUCGAAGAUAUCAUUAAUGCGUGCUUCUCCCUUCCAUUCAAGCUGGGGAAGAAAUCAUAACACGACCAUCGCAUCAAUUACCUUUGAAGCAUAUAUCAAACAACCCAUAAAAUGAGAUCAAUGCGGUCGUCAGAAGUUGAAGCAUAUGUUCUGUAACAGCCCAAAGCACAAAACAAAAGAAAAUCAGAAUAAGAAUCAGAAAUAAAGUUGAAUCUGAAUCGUUAGAUCAUUCAAUCAGACGAUAUGUGCCAUCACUAAAACCAUUGUAUUUCACUCAACACGUUCACAUAACACAAACAUAGAACACUCGACUUUAAGUUCAGGAACAUAAAAAUCUGUAGUUACAGAGUUUGAAGAUAUUUUUCUACAGACUCAUGAUUGUCUAUAAUAAGGUAUCACACAAAAUGCAUGUAUUUUUACAAAGUGAUUGUGUUAUCAAAUAACUACAUGAACUCUAAAUACUCAUACAUAAGUAGUGAUUAUCAUUUAAAGAGCACUUUCAUGGAACUUUUUAAUUGUGCAAAUUUUAUUUCAGGAGAAGUUAAAAAAAGAAAAGGCGAAUUUGUGAAUUUACUCCGAAAAUUUUAAAAAGUGACCUUCAUUUUUUAAUUUUCUUUUGUACAAAAAUGGACUAAUGGACCUGAGAUCAUGCUGAAAGUAUAACUUUACAUUUUAAUAAACAUUUGACAGAAAGCAAAGUAGAAACUUUCUUCUCUUCUUUUGUUUUGUAAUAGAAAGGCAAAGUUAUGGGUGGGAGUGGGGGCAGGGUUGUUAAAGGAGUAAGAAAAGUUCUGUCACAGCAACCAACACUAUAUUAUCCUAACCAGUCAAUAUCUUUUUAGAAUUUUGACUUGAAAUGUCUUUUCUCAAAGUAUAUACGUCAAUUAUUACUUUAUUCUUAAUCAAACUUUUUGAAUUUCAGCAGAACUGAUUAUAUCAAUGCAAUAAUUGAAGGUGAGGGGUUCCAAACAAGUACUGCUGCAACAUAAGGUUGAUGUAAUUUAUUUUGAACUCACCAAAGUUGAGGAAAAUAAGGUUUCUUGAAGGAGUAGCAUUGAGAAUGUGAAACUUUGUUCAUACACCCAACCGACAUAACAACUUUCUGAUUUAUUCAAUCAUGGUUAUCAAAUGCAGCUCAUACCUAUAGAUUAUCUCCAAAAUAGCUUUCUACUUCAUCACAUCCAGUUCCAAAAUUGUGAAAAUCUGAAUCUGGAAAAGCAGGUUACUGAUCUAUUAUUUUGUUCACUUACAGUAUUAGCCAAUCGUGGAUUUAUCAAAAUAGUACUUUUACUUGUCCCAAUUUUUAAUAAAAAGAAGAAGAGAAAGGUGUGUGUAAAGAGAAUCAAAACAAAGAACUUUUUUGUGAACUAUUGAAUGAAAAUGACCUGGAAUUGAUUACUCCAAAGCAACAACUAAACUUCUUUGCUUAGUUUGUGCUAUAUAUAUCUCAUCAAACUUACUAUAGACACAGAGCAAGCAUUUCUUGAUUUCUUCUCUAUCAACUUAAUUAGUUUUGAUCAUUUUAGUGCAGAAAUGGGUUGUGUAAAACUUGUAUUUUUUAUGCUAUAUACCUUUCUAUGUCAACUUGCUUUCUCCUCAUCCUUACCUCAUUUGUGCCCCAAAGAUCAAGCUCUUUCUCUUCUACAAUUCAAGCACAUAUUUACCAUUAAUCCUAAUGCUUCUGAAUAUUGUUACGACAUAACAGACCAAGAGAUUCAGUCAUAUCCACGAACUCUUUUAUGGAACAAGAGCACAGAUUGUUGCUCAUGGGAUGGAGUUCAUUGUGACGAGACGACAGGACAAGUGAUUGAGCUUGAUCUCCGUUGCAGCCAACUUCAAGGCAAGUUUCAUUACAACAGUAGCCUCUUUCAACUCUUCAAUCUCAAAAGGCUUGAUUUGUCUUGCAAUAAUUUCUCCGGAUCGCUCAUUUCACCUAAAUUUGGUGAGUUCUCUAACUUGAGGCAUCUUGAUUUGUCGCGUUCAAAUUUUACAGGUCUAAUCCCAGUUGAAAUCUCGCACCUUUCUAAACUACACGUUCUUCGUAUAGGUGAUCAAUAUGAGCUUAGUCUUGGACCUCACAAUUUUGAACUGCUCCUUAAGAACUUGACCCAAUUAAGAGAGCUCAAUCUUCACUAUGUGGACAUCUCUUCCACUAUUCCUUCAAAUUUCUCUUCUCAUUUAACAACUCUACAACUUGCAGACACACAGAUACGUGGGAUACUUCCCGAAAGAGUUUUCCACCUUUCCAACUUAGAAUCCCUCGAUUUAUCAGAAAAUCCCCAGCUCACUAUUAGGUUUCCCACUACCAAAUGGAAUAGCAGUGCAUCACUCAUGGAGUUACAUCUCAGUCAUGUGAAUUUUACUGGUAGGAUACCUGAAUCUUUUAGCCAUCUAACUUCACUGCAUAAGUUGUACCUUGAUAAUAACCAUCUUGAAUGACCGAUUUCUCAGUUCUUGAGAUUUGAAAAGCUCAGGUACUUAUCACUUAGAAAUAACAACUUUGAUGGCCAACUUGAGUGUUUAUCCUUUAACAGAAGCUGGACGCAAUUUGUAAUGUUAGAUUUUCGGUCCAAUUCCCUAACUGGUCCAAUUCCAUCCAACGUAAGUGGACAGCAAAACCUAAAAUGGCUUAUCUUGUCAUCAAACCACUUGAAUGGGACUAUACCUUUCUGGAUAUUCUCCCUUCCUUCACUGAUAAUGUUAAACUUGAGCAAUAACAUUUUCAGUGGAAAAAUUCAGGAGUUCAAUUCCAAAACAUUAGCUGUCGUUAUUCUGAGAAAAAAUCAGCUGGAAGGUCCUAUUGCUUCAGCUAUCUGUAAUCUGAAAACAUUGUUUCUACUAGAUUUGAGAAGCAAUAAUUUGGAGGGAACAAUCCCACAAUGUUUGGGUGAGAUGAGUGCAGUUGAGAUUUUGGAUUUAAGCAACAAUAGUCUUAGUGGGACAAUCAAUACAACUUUUAGUAUUGGAAACUAUCUCAGAGUCAUUAGCUUGCAUGAGAAUAAGCUAGAGGGGAAAGUCCCACGAUCUUUGAUCAAUUGUAAAAAUUUGGAACUUGUUAAUUUAGGUAACAAUCAGUUGAAUGAUACAUUUCCAAGAUGGAUGGGAAUCCUACCGAGUUUGAUGAUUUUAAAUUUGAGAUCAAAUAAGUUGCACGGGCCCAUUAAAACUUCAAGGACUGGAAACUUGUUUGCGCAGCUUCAAAUUAUGGAUCUAUCAUCCAAUGGAUUUAGUGGCAAUUUACCUGAAAGUCUUUUUGUGAAUUUGCAAGCCAUGAAGAAAAUUGAUGAGAACAUGAUAGGGAAAGAGGUUUUUGAUUAUGAUGAUUCUUUAACAAUUACAAUAAAGGGAUUGGAUCUUACUUUUGCUAGAGUUUUGUGGAGAAAUAACAUAGUUAUAGAUCUCUCAAGAAAUAGAUUUGAAGGUCCUAUUCCAAACAUUAUAGGACAUCUCAUUGGACUUCGUGUGUUAAACUUAUCUCAUAAUGUCUUGGAAGGUCAUAUACCAGCAUCAUUGCAAAAUCUAUCUGUACUCGAAUCAUUGGAUCUCUCAUCUAACAAAAUCAACGGAGAAAUUCCGCAGCAACUUGCAUCCCUCACAUUUCUUGAAGUCUUAAAUCUCUCUCACAAUCAUCUUGUUGGAUGCAUUCCCAAAGGAAAACAAUUUGAUACGUUUGAGAAUAGUUCAUACCAAGGGAAUGGUGGGUUACGUGGAUUGCCACUCUCAAAACAUUGUGGUGGUGAUGGUAGGGUACCACAAGCAACAAUUCCAGUUGAGCUAGAUCAAGAAGAAGAAGAUUCACCAAUGAUCAGUUGGCAGGCAGUUCUCAUGGGUUACGCUUGUGGUCUAGUUAUUGGACUAUCUGUAAUAUACAUAAUGUUGUCAACUCAAUAUCCAGCAUGGUUUUCGAGGAUGGAUUUAAAAUUGGAACACGGAAUUACUACGAGAAUGAAAAAACACAAGAAAAGAUAUUAGUGUGUAGCGACCUCCAGGUAUUCAACUUGAUCUUUAUCCUUCAAAAGAUUACUUCUUAUAUAUCGAUGUAUUUUCCACCUCCUUCAUCCUUAAAGCUCUUAACUUUAAUUCUUUAUUUUUGAAAAAUGCAGGAUUCAAGUCUACUUAGUUGCUGGGAAUGUAGAUAAAAGCCUUCAUCUUUCAUAGUUUGUGAUGUUUCCAUGAAGUGUUUGUUAUCUUAUGAAUAAAGAUAUCACUUUUCUUACUUUGAGACUCAACCAAAUUUUGUUUUCAUUUGUCUAUGGCAUGUAGAAACAAAUUCGACAGAAACAGAAAUCGAACACAAACUUGAAUCUUCAUAUCAUUCAAUCGGACGAUAUAUGUCAUCACUAAAAACAUUGUAUUUCACUCAACUCUGUCACAUGACAUCAUAACAAAAACAUAGAGCAGUCGACUUCAUGUUCAGAAACAUAAGUCUCAGAUGACAGAGUUCCCCGAUAUCUCUAUUGGUGGAAGGUAGACGGUACUGGUUGAAUUAAUUGAAUAGAACACAAGUUGACCUGAGCAUCUCUGUUAUACAACAACAAACUACGCCUCAGACCCAAACAAUAACUUGCAUAGAGAUCUGCAAUACUGUUCAAAGCCCAAAAUAAGAUGGACAUAAACACACAAUUGAUUGAUAGAAUUUCUAGUGAUCGAAAUCCAUAUGGAUCUCAAACUUCAUUUGGGAAGAAAUCGAGCAAAAGCUCUUGACUAUAGGUGAGGUUUAUCGUGAUCAACUAUUGUUCAGAUUCAUUAAUUAAUCAGCAAACCGCUCCAUAAUUUCAAAGUUUCGGGGGAAACAGACUUUGGAACCAGAUCUGUCAAGCUAUGACUUAGUUGAUUUUGAUGAGUCGAGAUUCCAUCACCAAGAUGCGGAGUUAUCAGCUCCGCUAAAUAAAACUGUGGGGUGGAACCUUGUGUAUUCCAGCAUCUAACAUUGCUUUUCUCAAGGCAGCAGCAUAAUCCCACCUCUCUGCGCCAGCAUAAAUGAUUCCGUUGUGACUCAAGCAAUAGUUGUGCUACUUCAUUUUCCAAUUCAAUAGCUCCAUGAAGUCUACAAGCACCCAUCAGUGAACCUUUUAAUUGUGUAAAUUUUAUUUCAUGAGAAGUAAAAGAAAAAAAAAAAGGUGAUAUGUGAAUUUACUCUGAAAAUUUUAAAAAGUGACCAUUUUUUUAAUUUUCUUUGGUACGAAAAUGGACUAAUGGACCUGAGAUCAUGCUGAAAGUAUAACUUUACAUUUUAAUAAACAUUUGACAGAAAGCAAAGUAGAAAUUUUCUUCUCUUCUUUUGUUUUGUAAUAGAAAGGCAAAGUUGUGGGUGGGAGUGGGGGCAGGGUUGUUAAAGGAGUAAGAAAAGUUCUGUCACAGCAACCAACACUAUAUUAUCGUAACCAGUCAAUAUCUUUUUAGAAUUUUGACUUGAAAUGUCUUUUCUCAAAGUAUAUACGUCAAUUAUUACUUUAUUCUUAAUCAAACUUUUUGAAUUUUCAGUAGAACUGAUUAUAUCAAUGCAAUAAUUGAAGGUGAGGGGUUCCAAACAAGUACUGCUGCAACAAGUUAGAAACUGGUGAUGUAAUUUGUGUUGAAGGAGUAGCAUUGAGAAUAAGAGUAUCACUUCACUUUAUACAUAGUCUUUUUCUUACCAACUUCUAAUGCGAGACUUUGUUCAUACACCCAACCGACAUAACAACUUUCUACUUUAUUCCGUCGCGGUUAUCAAAUGCAGCUUAUACCUGCAGAUUAUCUCCAAAACAGCUUUCUACCUCAUCACAUCCAGUUCUAAAAUUGUGAAAAUCUGAAUCUGGAAAAGUAAUUAACAAACAUUGAACAGGUUACUGAUCUAUUAUUUUGUUCACUUACAGUAUUAGCCAAUCAUGGAUUUAUCCAAAUAAUACUUUUAAUUGUCCCAAUUUUUAAUAAAAAGAAGAAGAGAAAGUUGUGUGUGUGGAGGGUUGUAAAGAGAAUCAAAACAAAGAACUUUUUUGUGAACUAUUGAAUGAAAUGACCUUCUUGAAUUGAUUACUCCAAAGCAACAACUAAACUUCUUUGCUUAGUUUGUGCUAUAUAUAUCUUAUCAAACUUACUAUAGACACAGAGCAAACAUUCUUGAUUUCUUCUCUAUCAACUUAAUUAGUUUUGAUCAUUUUAGUGCAGAAAUGGGUUGUGUAAAACUUGUAUUUUUUAUGCUAUAUACCUUUCUAUGUCAACUCGCUUUCUCCUCAUCCUUACCUCAUUUGUGCCCCAAAGAUCAAGCUCUUUCUCUUCUACAAUUCAAGCACAUAUUUACCAUUAAUCCUAAUGCUUCUGAAUAUUGUUACAGCAUAACAGACCAAAGGAUUCAGUCAUAUCCACGAACUCUUUUAUGGAACAAGAGCACAGAUUGUUGCUCAUGGAAUGGAGUUCAUUGUGACGAGACAACAGGACUGGUGAUUGAGAUUGAUCUCCGUUGCAGCUAACUUCAAGGCAAGUUUCAUUCCAACAGCAGCCUCUUUCACCUCUCCAAUCUCAAAAGGCUUGAUUUGUCUUAUAAUAAUUUCUCUGGAUCGCUCAUUUCACCUAAUUUUGGUGAGUUCUCUAGCUUGACGCAUCUUGAUUUGUCAGGUUCAAGAUUUACAGGUCUAAUCCCAACAGAAAUCUCUCACCUUUCUAAAUUACACGUUCUUCGUAUGGGUGAUCAAAAUGGGCUUAGUUUUGGGCCUCACAAUUUUGAACUACUCCUUAAGAACUUGACCCAAUUAAGAGAGCUCAAUCUUGACUUUCUGAACAUCUCUUCGAGCAUUCCUCUGAAUUUCUCUUCUUAUUUAAAAACUCUAAGGCUUCUAGACACACAGUUACGUGGGGUAUUGCCCGAAAGAGUUUUCCACCUUUCCAACUUAGAAUCUCUCGAUUUAUCAGGAAAUCCCCAGCUCACUGUUAGGUUUCCCACAACCAAUUGGAAUAGUUGUGCAUCACUCAUGUACUUAUAUCUCGAUAGUGUUAAUUUUACUGGUAGGAUACCUGAAUCAUUUAGCCAUCUAACUGCACUUCAUAACUUGGACAUGGGUUAUUCUAAUCUGGCAGGGCCUAUUCCAAAACCUCUAUGGAAUCUCACCAACAUAGAACUUUUGUACCUUGGUUAUAACCAUCUUGAAGGAUCAAUUUACCAGUUCUCGGGAUUUGGAAAGCUCAAGAAGUUAUCACUUGAAAAUAACAACUUUGAUGGCCAACUUGAUUUCUUAUGCUUUAACAGAAGCUGGAGGCAGCUUGAAGCAUUAGAUUUUUCAUCCAAUUUCCUAACUGGUCCAAUUCCAUCCAAUUUGGUAAGUGGACUACGAAAUCUACAAUCACUCUACUUGUCAUCAAACCACUUGAAUGGGACUAUACCUUCCUGGAUAUUCUCCCUCCCAUCACUAUAUUUGCUACACUUGAGUGAUAACCAUUUCAGUGGAAAAAUUCAGGAGUUCAAGUCCAACACGUUAUCUGAAGUUGAUCUAAGAUAAAAUCAGCUGCAAGGUCCUUUACCAAAUUCACUCCUAAACCAGCCAAACCUAGCAUUUCUUCUCCUUUCGCACAAUAAUAUUAGUGGACAGAUUGCUUCAACUAUCUGCAAUCUGAAAACACUAAUAGCUCUAGACUUGGGAAGUAACAAUUUGGAAGGAACAAUCCCACAAUGUUUGGUUGAGAUGAAUGAAUACCUUCGGAAUUUGGAUUUGAGCAACAAUAGUUUUAGUGGGACAAUCAAUACAAAUUUUAGUAUUGGAAACUAUCUCACGGUCAUUAGCUUGCAUGGGAAUAAGCUAACGGGGAAAGUUCCACGAUCUUUGAUCAAUUGCAAGCAUUUGACACUUCUUGAUCUAGGUAACAAUCAGUUGAAUGACACAUUUCCAAACUGGUUGGGAUACCUACCUGAUUUGAAGAUUUUAAGCUUGAGAUCAAAUAAGUUGCAUGGUCCCAUCAAAUCUUCAGGCAAUAAAAACUUGUUUGCGCAGCUUCAAAUUAUGGAUCUAUCAUCCAAUGGAUUUAGUGGGAAUUUACCAGAAAAUAUUUUUGGGAACUUGCAAGCCAUGAAGAAAAUUGAUGAGAGUACAAGAACCCCGAAGUAUGUUUCUGAUCAAUAUGCUGGUUAUUAUGAUUAUUUGACGACAAUUACAACAAAGGGACAUGAUUAUAAUUAUGUUCGGAUUUUGGCUUCCAACAUGAUUAUCGAUCUCUCAAACAACAGAUUUGAAGGUCACAUUCCAAGCAUUGUUGGAGAUCUCAUUGGACUUCGUACCUUGAACUUAUCUCAUAAUGUCUUGGAAGGUCAUAUACCAGCAUCAUUGCAAAAUUUAUCUGUACUCAAAUCAUUGGAUUUCUCAUCUAACAAAAUCAGCGGAGGAAUUCCACCACAACUUGCAUCCCUCACAUUUCUUGAAGUCUUAAAUCUAUCUCACAAUCAUCUUGUUGGAUGCAUCCCCAAAGGAAAACAAUUUGAUACGUUUGAGAACAGUUCAUACCAAGGAAAUGAUGGAUUACGAGGAUUGCCACCCUCAAGAGAUUGUGGUCGUGAUGAUAGGGUACCACAAGAGACAAUUCCAGUUGAGCUUGGUCAAGAAGAAGAAGAAGAUUCACCAAUGAUCAGUUGGCAGGCAGUUCUCAUGGGUUACGGUUGUGGACUUGUUAUUGGACUGUCUAUAAUAUACAUAAUGUUGUCAACUCAAUAUCCGGCAUGGUUUCCGGGGAUGGUUGUAAAAUUGGAACACAGAAUUAC